GAGCGUAUAGCUUAGUGGAAAAGCAAUAAACUUUUAAUUUAAAGAUCUUAGGUUCGAAUCCUAAUACGCUCA
Molecule: transfer RNA, 72 nt
Filed under: Ceramothamnion japonicum
Lineage: Eukaryota; Rhodophyta; Florideophyceae; Ceramiales; Ceramiaceae
Description: Ceramium japonicum tRNA-Lys
Rfam family: tRNA
About the family: Transfer RNA (tRNA) molecules are approximately 80 nucleotides in length. Their secondary structure includes four short double-helical elements and three loops (D, anti-codon, and T loops). Further hydrogen bonds mediate the characteristic L-shaped molecular structure. tRNAs have two regions of fundamental functional importance: the anti-codon, which is responsible for specific mRNA codon recognition, and the 3' end, to which the tRNAs corresponding amino acid is attached (by aminoacyl-tRNA synthetases). tRNAs cope with the degeneracy of the genetic code in two manners: having more than one tRNA (with a specific anti-codon) for a particular amino acid; and 'wobble' base-pairing, i.e. permitting non-standard base-pairing at the 3rd anti-codon position.
Source: RNAcentral